GUCAAACUCAUAAUUAUAACUUGGAUAUUUAUUUUUUUGUGUACGGAACUAAUAUAAAAUAACAUUAUCUGAUAAAACCCAGAUGUAUACAUGGCCUGGAUUUCCAUAUUAUGCUGCCCAGAAUAAAAGACGAUGCAGUCCAGAUAAAAACAUUGUAUGGCUCAAUAAUCUUUACCAAACUUGAUGCAUCAGAUGAAGUCUUUGACUAUCUAGAAAGGGAUUUUGUAAGCUAGUACUGGACAUGAAGACAGUCACUUGGAAAUGAUGAUUGUGCAACAGCGGUUAAACAUAU
Long non-coding RNA from Mya arenaria, 292 nucleotides. RefSeq lists it as uncharacterized. NCBI's taxonomy places the organism in Eukaryota, Metazoa, Mollusca, Bivalvia, Myida, Myidae. The transcript has 3 exons. The record is from RefSeq and is a predicted model, not a curated record.